RNAcentral lists this ribosomal RNA (485 nucleotides) under uncultured bacterium. RNAcentral describes it as "partial 16S ribosomal RNA". It matches the Rfam family "Bacterial small subunit ribosomal RNA", at positions 28 to 523 of the family's 1533-position model. The record is from RNAcentral.
GAUGAACGCUAGCGGCAGGCCUAAUGCAUGCAAGUCGAACGGUGUCUUCGGACAUAGUGGCGCACGGGUGCGUAACACGUACGCAACCUACCUUACAUUGGGGGAUAGCCUUUCGAAAGGGAGAUUAAUACCGCAUAAGACAGUAGCUGGGCAUCCAGCAGCUGUUAAAGAUUUAUCGAUGUAAGCUGGGCAUGCGUCCAAUUAGCUAGUUGGUGAGGUAACGGCUCACCAAGGCAAUGAUUGGUAGGGGAACUGAGAGGUCAAUCCCCCACACUGGCACUGAGAUACGGGCCAGACUCCUACGGGAGGCAGCAGUAGGGAAUAUUGGGCAAUGGACGCAAGUCUGACCCAGCCAUGCCGCGUGCAGGAUGAAGGCGUUAUGCGUUGUAAACUGCUUUUAUACAGGAAGAAACGACUCUUGCGAGAGGCAUUGACGGUACUGUAUGAAUAAGCACCGGCUAACUCCGUGCCAGCCGCCGCAGUAA